RNAcentral lists this transfer RNA (66 nucleotides) under Prostomis sp. PRO01. RNAcentral describes it as "tRNA-Ala". It matches the Rfam family "tRNA". From Rfam's summary of the family: Transfer RNA (tRNA) molecules are approximately 80 nucleotides in length. Their secondary structure includes four short double-helical elements and three loops (D, anti-codon, and T loops). Further hydrogen bonds mediate the characteristic L-shaped molecular structure. tRNAs have two regions of fundamental functional importance: the anti-codon, which is responsible for specific mRNA codon recognition, and the 3' end, to which the tRNAs corresponding amino acid is attached (by aminoacyl-tRNA synthetases). tRNAs cope with the degeneracy of the genetic code in two manners: having more than one tRNA (with a specific anti-codon) for a particular amino acid; and 'wobble' base-pairing, i.e. permitting non-standard base-pairing at the 3rd anti-codon position. Lineage: Eukaryota; Metazoa; Arthropoda; Insecta; Coleoptera; Prostomidae. The record is from RNAcentral.
AGGAUAAUAGUUAAAUUUAACAUUUAAUUUGCAAUUAAAAGAUAUUGACUAAAACAAUUUAUCUUA